This 253-nucleotide ribosomal RNA is filed under the name uncultured bacterium. Its description in RNAcentral is "partial 16S ribosomal RNA". It matches the Rfam family "Bacterial small subunit ribosomal RNA", at positions 524 to 776 of the family's 1533-position model. The record is from RNAcentral.
UACGGAGGAUCCGAGCGUUAUCCGGAUUUAUUGGGUUUAAAGGGAGCGUAGGCGGCCUGUUAAGUCAGGGGUGAAAGACGGUGGCUCAACCAUCGCAGUGCCUUUGAUACUGACAGGCUUGAAUGUAGUUGAGGUGGGCGGAAUGUGACAAGUAGCGGUGAAAUGCAUAGAUAUCGUCCAGAACGCCGAUUGCGAAGGCAGGUGGCUACGCUUCGUCUGACACUGAGGCACGAAAGCGUGGGGAGCGAACAGG